UACGUAGGGGUCGAGCGUUGUCCGGAGUUACUGGGCGUAAAGCGUGCGCAGGCGGUUUCUUAAGUCAGAUGUGAAAGCCCCGGGCUUAACCUGGGAACUGCGUUUGAAACUGGGAGACUUGAGUGUGGCAGAGGGGGGUGGAAUUCCACGUGUAGCAGUGAAAUGCGUAGAUAUGUGGAGGAACACCGAUGGCGAAGGCAGCCCCCUGGGUUAACACUGACGCUCAUGCACGAAAGCGUGGGGAGCAAACAGG
Molecule: ribosomal RNA, 253 nt
Filed under: uncultured bacterium
Lineage: Bacteria
Description: partial 16S ribosomal RNA
Rfam family: Bacterial small subunit ribosomal RNA
Source: RNAcentral